This is a non-coding RNA of Peromyscus maniculatus bairdii (prairie deer mouse), 896 nucleotides long. The record is from RefSeq and is a predicted model, not a curated record. NCBI's taxonomy places the organism in Eukaryota, Metazoa, Chordata, Mammalia, Rodentia, Cricetidae.
CAUCUCUAUUGGGUGUUUUCAGAGUCCUGUGGGACCCGUGGAGGGGAAGAGGUCUGUGACAGAAGGUAAGGGCAGUCUCUCCUUAGAGUGAUUGCCGAGAAUGGAACCCAGUCAUCGCCAUGGUGGGCUGAUUCCUACAGUGCUUUUCCUGGCCAACUAGGCAGCCUGGAUGAAGAGACACAGGCCUAUGCCUACUUUGGGGUGCCCACAUGCCACAGCUACCCUCAUCCCGGUCUCCAGACUAUGGAGACACAUUCAAAGAAGUCUUUCUUUGAAAAAAAAAAAGUGUCAUCUUUGGACCUGAGAAGUCAACAUUUAUAACGACAACAUGUAAUAAGCAACUGUUGUUCCUGGGAGGAUCAUAUAAGAACUAGUAAAUGAACAAGGCCUGGAGAACCUCCUGAGGAUGGAAGCUGGCUUCCCCCAUGUUUACCUGCUUGCUCUUCAGCAGAAGGACGCAGAAGCCCAUGUCCCACACUCUCGCUGGGCAGUCACUGAUCUAUGUUAUUAUUCAUCCUUCUCCACUGAAUGCAGCGUGGGGUUGUUUGAAGUUGUGCUUCCUAAAGGAAGAACUCCAGGCUCCAUUCUCCACUGCUGGUAGACAAGAAGCUAAUCAUUUGGCCUCUCAUCUGUAAUUGGAUUCAUUAUCCUGCUUUUGCUGGGUGGUUUCCCGAACUGCACCUAAUGUUUGGCUGUGGGUCUCCACCUGCAUCUGCCUCCAUCAGACACCUCUCUGAUGACAAUUGGGCGAGGCACCAAUCUGGUCACAAGGGACAGCCAGUUCAGGUUACUUAUCAAAUAUGGUAAUUCUUAACACCAGCUGAAUUGAAUAGAAGAACUAGCAAUAUCAUUUCAAAUGGAUAUUCAGAGAUUUAAUUAAAAUUUAUGUAAAAGUU